AAGCAACAAGACACACAACUACAUAAAAUAAAAUACAACAUGAACAUCCACCACAGUGGAAUCAACAUUCUUCACUGUGGUGGAAGGCAAUAACGUUCAGUCAGCCCUCCUCUUUUGUUCAUCCGUGAUCGGGGUCAUGAACCCUCUGCAGUCGCCGCUACGGAUGGCCCGAUGCACAUGCCCUCUCAUCGGGAUGAUCGAAUC
Molecule: long non-coding RNA, 204 nt
Organism: Amblyraja radiata (thorny skate)
Lineage: Eukaryota; Metazoa; Chordata; Chondrichthyes; Rajiformes; Rajidae
Exons: 3
Source: RefSeq, a predicted model, not a curated record